Molecule: ribosomal RNA, 681 nt
Filed under: uncultured bacterium
Lineage: Bacteria
Description: bacterial SSU rRNA
Rfam family: Bacterial small subunit ribosomal RNA
Source: RNAcentral
CCGCGGCAGAUUAGCUAGUCGGUGGGGUAAUGGCCUACCGAGGCGACGAUCUGUAGCUGGUCUGAGAGGAUGAUCAGCCACACUGGGACUGAGACACGGCCCAGACUCCUACGGGAGGCAGCAGUAAGGAAUAUUCCGCAAUGGACGCAAGUCUGACGGAGCGACGCCGCGUGCGCGGAGAAGCCCUUCGGGUUGUAAAGCGCUUUUCCCGGGGAAGAUAAAGACAGUACCCGGGGAAUAAGCCUCGGCUAACUACGUGCCAGCAGCCGCGGUAAUACGUAGGAGGCAAGCGUUGUCCGGAAUCACUGGGCGUAAAGCGCGUGCAGGCGGCAAGGCAAGUCUACUGUGAAAGCGCCCUGCUUAACGGGGCGAGGACGGCGGAAACUGCCUAGCUAGAGGACGGUAGAGGGGGGUGGAAUUCCCGGUGUAGUGGUGAAAUGCGUAGAGAUCGGGAGGAACACCUGUGGCGAAGGCGGCCCCCUGGGCCGUUCCUGACGCUGAGACGCGAAGGCGCGGGGAGCGAACGGGAUUAGAUACCCCGGUAGUCCGCGCAGUAAACGAUGUACACUAGGUGUGGGGGGUAUCGAGCCCCUCCGUGCCGGCGCUAACGCAUUAAGUGUACCGCCUGGGGAGUACGACCGCAAGGUUAAAACUCAAAGGAAUUGACGGAAUCGAAUUCCC